UAACUAGGACCCGCCGGUCGGGUCAAGUGGUGCCCAGACGUGGAGCUCGAGGCACGGAUUCCUCCGAACGGACCCUCAUUGAGAAGUGGCCACGACAUCAAGAUUGAGUGAGACAGCGAUCCUCCCCCGCGACCUAUCGUCCUCGGGUUGCGGUCCUCCUCGCCCCCAUGAAUAACUAGGACCCGCCGGUCGGGUCAAUGGAGGACAAUGGCAAAGAAAGUGUUUCUUCUGUUUUGCUGGGGCAGACUCCUAACUGGUCUGCUCCUGUGAGGACACCAUAUACUGACCCAUCCCAGAGGUCUGCUCCCAUGAAGACACC
Molecule: long non-coding RNA, 319 nt
Organism: Grammomys surdaster
Lineage: Eukaryota; Metazoa; Chordata; Mammalia; Rodentia; Muridae
Exons: 3
Source: RefSeq, a predicted model, not a curated record